Molecule: long non-coding RNA, 869 nt
Filed under: Macaca mulatta (Rhesus monkey)
Lineage: Eukaryota; Metazoa; Chordata; Mammalia; Primates; Cercopithecidae
Description: lncRNA (ENSMMUG00000054798.1)
Source: RNAcentral
GGCAUCCUUAGAAACAUCUCAAGACUUGCUGGAUGUUUGAAGGUCUCUCUGGAUUCCUGGCAGGUGGUCUGAUGCUCGAAGGUUUCCCACAGCUGGAUGGGAGGGAAUUCAGCUGAGAUUUUGCUUCCUAGCAAACACCUUGCAGCAAGCUUGGUCCCAAGCCUUCUGACUAGCCUUGUCUCCCCUGGGAGAUUGCCUUGUGUGACCCAAGGAAGUGUCCCCCCUUCUGAUACGUGCCUGUGGUUUGCCUUUGCUUCUGGAACAUGAUUCCAGUAAGAAUCUGCUGACUUUCUGCACCACCUACUCGGGUCCAUCCUAAUGACAUCAGCCAAGGCCUCUACAGCAGCCCCCAAGCUGCCUCUGGAUAGUUUGGACAAGGCCUCUGUGCUGUGAUGGAACCAGGUGACCUGCAGCCUCCGGGCCAGUGGCAGCUUCUGUUGCUCACACCUGGUGGCCCUGGUGCUUAUGCUUGGGGUCACAAUGGGGUUGUGAGGAAGGAGGAGGAUGGAAGAAAAGGGGAACAUUGGACAGUGGAUCGUGAUGCAAAGGAAAGGUACCAAUCCCAGGACUAUGGGGCAGACUCAGGAGGCAGCACAUGGGGAACAUUCUCAGACUUGGGGCAGCAUCACUGGCUCUCAGGGAGGUGUCCUGUGAGGAAGAGGAAUGAGCUUUCAGUGCCUGGACGUUGUGACAGUUCUUUGGGCCAUUCAAAGACCUUGUGGCCUAUUUCUUGGCCCCUAAAACAUCCUGAAGAGGUAAGAUUGCCUGAGAGUUGCAUUCCAUGUUAUCAACUUGUAACCACAUUUGGUUUGGGGGGACUUUCAGUUUCUUUUCUUAGAGGAGCUUCUGCAUUAACUUCAGCAGGUUAA